GUGUAUAACUAUAAGAAAAAGGAAGGGAAAUUGUAUAAGAUUAAAAAGCUCAUGGGUUAGAGAUAUAGAAAAGAAAAAGUAGAAAAGGAUAAAAAAGAGGGAAUUCCUAAUCCAAUCAAAAAACCCAUUUUGGUCUUAGUGUGGAUAGAGGAUCUUCCUAUGUUAUACUAUAUAACUCUCAUCCGUGAAAUAUAA
Molecule: ribosomal RNA, 195 nt
Filed under: Triticum aestivum (bread wheat)
Lineage: Eukaryota; Viridiplantae; Streptophyta; Magnoliopsida; Poales; Poaceae
Description: partial small subunit ribosomal RNA
Source: RNAcentral